This 346-nucleotide ribosomal RNA is filed under the name uncultured eukaryote. RNAcentral describes it as "SSU rRNA". It matches the Rfam family "Eukaryotic small subunit ribosomal RNA", at positions 594 to 945 of the family's 1831-position model. The record is from RNAcentral.
AUAGCGUAUAUUAAAGUUGUUGCAGUUAAAAAGCUCGUAGUUGAACCUUGGGUCUGGCUGGCCGGUCCGCCUCACCGCGUGCACUGGUCCGGCCGGAUCUUUCCUUCUGGCUAGCUGCAUGCCCUUCACUGGGUGUGUCGGGGAACCAGGACUUUUACUUUGAAAAAAUUAGAGUGUUCAAAGCAGGCAUUUGCUCGAAUACAUUAGCAUGGAAUAAUAGAAUAGGACGUGCGGUUCUAUUUUGUUGGUUUCUAGGACCGCCGUAAUGAUUAAUAGGGAUAGUCGGGGGCAUCAGUAUUCAAUUGUCAGAGGUGAAAUUCUUGGAUUUAUUGAAGACUAACUACUG